This 1111-nucleotide long non-coding RNA is filed under the name Rattus norvegicus (Norway rat). RNAcentral's name for it is "long non-coding RNA NONRATT013338". The record is from RNAcentral. Lineage: Eukaryota; Metazoa; Chordata; Mammalia; Rodentia; Muridae.
CGCGGAGGCCGACAGGAUUCGUUGGCUACCGUCCCCGCUGCCGUGCACUGGGUUAAAAACGACAACGAACACCAACCAUGAAAGAUCCAAGUCGCAGCAGUACUAGCCCAAGCAUCAUCAAUGACGAUGUGAUUAUUAACGGUCAUUCUCAUGAAGAGGAUAAUCCAUUUGCAGAGUACAUGUGGAUGGAAAAUGAAGAGGAAUUCAACAGACAAGUUAAUAGAAGAGGAGUUGUGGGAAGAAGAAUUUAUUGAACGCUGUUUCCAAGAAAUGCUGGAAGAGGAAGAAGAACAUGAAUGGUUUAUUCCAGCCCGAGAUCUCCCACAAACUAUGGACCAAAUCCAAGACCAGUUUAAUGACCUUGUUAUCAGUGAUGGCUCUUCUCUGGAAGAUCUUGUGGUGAAGAGCAAUCUGAAUCCCAAUGCAAAGGAGUUUGUUCCUGGGGUGAAGUACUGACAUGUCUGAGCAGCCGGCCGCUUUGGGUGGAUGUAGCACAGUUUCCACACUGGGAAGGCAGUGUUAGAAGACUCCAUUGUAAAAGCUCUCUCUCGUCACUGUGUUACACUUACGCAUUGCCAAAGUUUUUGUUAGUCUUGCAUGCUUAAUAAAAGUGCUGAGACUGUUACUAAGUAAGAAGCUGUCACACAGUUACUGAAAGUAGAAUUGGCCGCAUGGCUUGAUGUAAAGACAGCAGGAAGAAGCACCAGUCGAUUGUGACAAAGAACCAAAUUAAAUCACCUCCAAAUCUCACUGAAUUGUCUGUCUUUGAGGCUAAACUGGUCCCUUAGGAUUAGUUGACACUUUUUAAUGUCUACACGUUGUAAAAAAAAUAAGUAAAUAAGUAAGUUUAAAUUAAGUUCUGAUUGUUAAACAGAUUUCUCAGUUGCAUUUGUCCAUCAAAAAUAACCUUUUCUGGAGAAAAUCUGUUAACUUUUAAAGUAAUUUCACAAGAAUGUCUUUGCCUGAGGUUACAAGGUGGUGGUCAGAUGGGAUCUAGUCUGUCUGACUUUUGCCUGGUGUAUUAUCAUGUUAGGAAUGCUGCGUUCUCCUAGUGUUAAGCUUGAGGAAAUACAAUUGGAGGCUUGCGUCUUCUGAAGAUUGAUUGCAUCAU